GUGACUGCGUACCUUUUGUAUAAUGGGUCAGCGACUUAUAUUUUGUAGCAAGGUUAACCGAAUAGGGGAGCCGUAGGGAAACCGAGUCUUAACUGGGCGUGUAGUUGCAAGGUAUAGACCCGAAACCCGGUGAUCUAGCCAUGGGCAGGUUGAAGGUUGGGUAACACUAACUGGAGGACCGAACCGACUAAUGUUGAAAAAUUAGCGGAUGACUUGUGGCUGGGGGUGAAAGGCCAAUCAAACCGGGAGAUAGCUGGUUCUCCCCGAAAUCUAUUUAGGUAGAGCCUUGAGCGGACACCUUUGGGGGUAGAGCACUGUUUCGGCUAGGGGGCCAUCCCGGCUUACCAACCCGAUGCAAACUCCGAAUACCAAAGAGUGAUACUCAGGAGACACACGGCGGGUGCUAACGUUCGUCGUGAAGAGGGAAACAACCCAGACCGCCAGCUAAGGUCCCAAAGUCUAUAUUAAGUGGGAAACGAAGUGGGAAGGCUUAGACAGCUAGGAUGUUGGCUUAGAAGCAGCCACCAUUUAAAGAAAGCGUAAUAGCUCACUAGUCGAGUCGGCCUGCGCGGAAGAUGUAACGGGGCUCAAAUAUAGCACCGAAGCUGCGGCAUCAGAUGUAAAUCUGUUGGGUAGGGGAGCGUUCUGUAAGCGGAUGAAGGUGAAUCGAGAGGUUUGCUGGACGUAUCAGAAGUGCGAAUGCUGACAUAAGUAACGAUAAAACGAGUGAAAAACUCGUUCGCCGGAAGAUCAAGGUUUCCUGUCCAACGUUAAUCGGGGCAGGGUGAGUCGACCCCUAAGGCGAGGCUGAAAAGCGUAGUCGAUGGGAAACAGGUUAAUAUUCCUGUACUUGUAAUAACUGCGAUGUGGGGACGGAGAAGGUUAGGUUAUCAGGGUGUUGGAUUACCCUGUUUAAGCCGUUAGGUGGGAAUUUUAGGCAAAUCCGGAAUUCCAUUAACACCGAGAAGUGAUGACGAGACUCUAAGGAGUUGAAGUAACUGAUACCACGCUUCCAGGAAAAGCCACUAAGCAUAGGUUAUUAUAAAUCGUACUGUAAACCGACACAGGUGAUCAGGUAGAGAAUACUCAGGCGCUUGAGAGAACUCGGGUGAAGGAACUAGGCAAAAUAGCACCGUAACUUCGGGAGAAGGUGCGCCGGCGUAGAUUGUAGCUCUUUACGAGUGAAGGUUGAACCGGUCGAAGAUACCAGCUGGCUGCAACUGUUUAUUAAAAACACAGCACUCUGCAAACACGAAAGUGGACGUAUAGGGUGUGAUGCCUGCCCGGUGCUGGAAGGUUAAUUGAUGAUGUAAUCGAAAGAGAAGCUUCUGAUCGAAGCCCCAGUAAACGGCGGCCGUAACUAUAACGGUCCUAAGGUAGCGAAAUUCCUUGUCGGGUAAGUUCCGACCUGCACGAAUGGCAUAAUGAUGGCCAGGCUGUCUCCACCCGAGACUCAGUGAAAUUGAAAUCGCCGUGAAGAUGCGGUGUACCCGCGGCUAGACGGAAAGACCCCGUGAACCUUUACUAUAGCUUGACACUGAACCUUGAAUUUUAAUGUGUAGGAUAGGUGGGAGACU
This 1577-nucleotide ribosomal RNA is filed under the name Phocoenobacter skyensis. RNAcentral's name for it is "partial 23S ribosomal RNA". It matches the Rfam family "Bacterial large subunit ribosomal RNA", at positions 593 to 2156 of the family's 2925-position model. The record is from RNAcentral. Lineage: Bacteria; Pseudomonadati; Pseudomonadota; Gammaproteobacteria; Pasteurellales; Pasteurellaceae.